ACACGAAGCUGGAAUCGCUAGUAAUCGCGGAUCAGCACGCCGCGGUGAAUACGUUCCCGGGCCUUGUACACACCGCCCGUCACACCAUGAGAGUCUGUAACACCCAAAGCCGGUGGGAUAACCUUUAUAGGAGUCAGCCGUCUAAGGUAGGACAGAUGAUUAGGGUGAAGUCGUAACAAGGUAGC
This 185-nucleotide ribosomal RNA is filed under the name uncultured bacterium. RNAcentral describes it as "partial 16S ribosomal RNA". It matches the Rfam family "Bacterial small subunit ribosomal RNA", at positions 1318 to 1500 of the family's 1533-position model. The record is from RNAcentral.